GUCUAUGGCCAUGCCACCCUGAACAAGCCCGAUCUCAUCUGAUCUUGGAAGCUACGCAGGGUCAGACCUGGUUAGUACUUGGAUGGGAGACCACCUAGGAAGACCAGGUGUGUAAAAA
Molecule: ribosomal RNA, 118 nt
Filed under: Pteropus alecto (black flying fox)
Lineage: Eukaryota; Metazoa; Chordata; Mammalia; Chiroptera; Pteropodidae
Source: RNAcentral